Molecule: long non-coding RNA, 1104 nt
Filed under: Apteryx rowi (Okarito brown kiwi)
Lineage: Eukaryota; Metazoa; Chordata; Aves; Apterygiformes; Apterygidae
Description: lncRNA (ENSARWG00000001632.1)
Source: RNAcentral
AUUUAGAGCCAGAUUCAUGAAGAUACUUCAAUGUCUAAAUAUGUGUCUAAGUUGCUACUGGAUUUUUCAAAGUUCUUACCUACUACUAUUAAAAUCAGCUAAGUUCAUUCUUUUGUGAUAUUACGACCAAAGAAUGCACUGUGAAUUGUCAUGAUUAGGAGUGCAAAAAUGCGGUACUUAGUGUUCCUGACAAUCCUGGUAACCGUAACUAUAUUUAAUUGGCAAAUGCCUUUAAAAAUCUAGACCCAAUAAUGACAAACCCAAGAAAGUUCAAGGUUAAAGGGGAAACAAAUCUAAGCAAAGGGUACAAAUCAAGGCAAAAGGCUGACAUUUUCAAAGAGCAUCUCAUCAGUCAGGUGAACCCACACUUCACAGAUCCACCACUGUAACCAGCCAUGGUGAAGCUAAGCUAAGAAAGCUGUGUUCUCCCACAGUGACUGCCCCCAGGACCAGGCUCAGAUGCUACUCUGUUUUUAAGUCACUGCAUGAAAAAAGUUACAGUCUGGAGAAAGAGCAGUUCUGGUAUAUUGAUAGUCUCAAUUCCAGACUAUUCCAGACUGAUUAUCUCAUAUACUCAUUUCUCUCUUUGACACAUGCUGUAGUGCCAGCACCUUCCACAAAGUCAGUGACGCUGGUGUCUCUCUACUGCUGGACUAUGCGCAAGAUACUGCUGAUUGACACCUGCGAUAGAGCUACUCUUACUGCGUGGGUUGCUGGAGCACAAAAAGGAGGUGGGACUACUACACUGCAGCUGGAUGAAUGUGCUGCUGUAAGUAUUGGACUGCUUGGGGUUUAACUGUGAUGAAGACUUCUCCAGCUUCACUCUCAAAAACUAUUUUUUAUAUUCUUGUUGCAGCAGGCAGAUCAUGUUAACUAACAUCAUACAAGGUAUAUGUAUCACCUGGAGUGAGGUUGCAUCCUAGUCCAUCAGAAUAUUCACAAGUCCUUCAACUCUGGCAGUCACCAGGAGCAAAAAUUGAAGGACUUUAUCCUCAGAAAGGCCAAAUACGGAUCCUAAUACUAGGGGAUUUCUCUUUAAAUUAAGCUGUUCACAUCUUUAUGGACGAAAGAGCUCAAUAAAAAUCAUAUCCAUUUACUCUUGCA